This 253-nucleotide ribosomal RNA is filed under the name uncultured bacterium. RNAcentral's name for it is "partial 16S ribosomal RNA". It matches the Rfam family "Bacterial small subunit ribosomal RNA", at positions 524 to 776 of the family's 1533-position model. The record is from RNAcentral.
UACGGAGGAUGCAAGCGUUAUCCGGAAUGAUUGGGCGUAAAGCGUCCGCAGGUGGCGUUGUAAGUCUGUUGUUAAAGCGUGCGGCUUAACCGCAUAAGGGCGAUGGAAACUACAAGACUAGAGUGCGUUAGGGGUAGAGGGAAUUCCUGGUGUAGCGGUGAAAUGCGUAGAGAUCAGGAAGAACACCGGUGGCGAAAGCGCUCUACUAUGCCGCAACUGACACUGAGUGACGAAAGCUAGGGGAGCGAAUGGG